CCCCUCUCAGGAUAGCACCUGGAGAGUUUCCAGUACUCUACCAGUCUCGACUAUGGGAGGAAGAGUCAAGCAGAGGCCUACCCAGUCCAUUCCUAGCUCAGGCAGUGGCUAGCGAGUGGAAGGCAAUCUGCAACAAGU
Molecule: non-coding RNA, 138 nt
Organism: Ornithorhynchus anatinus (platypus)
Lineage: Eukaryota; Metazoa; Chordata; Mammalia; Monotremata; Ornithorhynchidae
Source: Rfam